UUCAUGGCUUUUGAAUUUUGUUGAGCCAUUUUCUCAUUAUGAUUAGUGUUUGUGUGUGUUCCAUUGACUAUAAUGCUCCAUAAAUUAUAAUCAAGCGAUUGUAUGAAAACGCGCAUGCGUGCUUUCCAAUGUGUAUAGUUUAUGCCAUUAAAUAGUGGAGGUCUAUCAAUUAAUUGUCCAUCUCCUAGAAAACUAUCUAUUUGAGUUGUCAUGAUCUUUGGCUCUUUGACGGUUAGGUCAAAAACACAAGGCAAGAAAUUAUAGAGCACCGGCUCUGAUACCACUUGUUGCCCAGUAGAUACAAUCCAAGAGGAGGGGUGAAUUGGGUCUUUUAAAACUUUUAGGCUACUUCUAACACUUUUCAAUUAAUUAUGCUAAGUUGUAUAGAUGCACAGUGGAAUUUAAACUUAGUAACAGUUUGAUUUAUUGAAUGAGACUUGAUUAAGUAAAUUGAAUAUGCUUGCAACUAAAGGAUGCGCGGAUAAG
RNAcentral lists this long non-coding RNA (486 nucleotides) under Phoenix dactylifera (date palm). RNAcentral's name for it is "long non-coding RNA (PDAC_LNC021587)". Lineage: Eukaryota; Viridiplantae; Streptophyta; Magnoliopsida; Arecales; Arecaceae. The record is from RNAcentral.